UGGGGAAUCUUGCACAAUGGGGGCAACCCUGAUGCAGCGACGCCGCGUGAGCGAUGAAGCCCUUCGGGGCGUAAAGCUCUUUCGACCGGAACGAUAAUGACGGUACCGGGAGAAGAAGCUGCGGCUAACUACGUGCCAGCAGCCGCGGUAAUACGUAGGCAGCAAGCGUUGUUCGGAGUUACUGGGCGUGAAGAGUGCGUAGGCGGUUUUCUAAGUUCGGUGUGAAAUCUCCCGGCUUAACUGGGAGGGUGCGCCGAAGACUGGGAAGCUGGAGUGUGGGAAAGNCAGGCGGAAUUCCUGGUGUAGCGGUGAAAUGCGUAGAUAUCAGGAGGAACACCGGCGGUGUAGACGGCUUGCUAGACCAUAACUGACGCUGAGGCACGAAAGCGUGGGUAGCAAACA
RNAcentral lists this ribosomal RNA (402 nucleotides) under uncultured bacterium. RNAcentral's name for it is "bacterial SSU rRNA". It matches the Rfam family "Bacterial small subunit ribosomal RNA", at positions 355 to 774 of the family's 1533-position model. The record is from RNAcentral.